Molecule: signal recognition particle RNA, 300 nt
Filed under: Homo sapiens (human)
Lineage: Eukaryota; Metazoa; Chordata; Mammalia; Primates; Hominidae
Description: Metazoan signal recognition particle RNA
Rfam family: Metazoan signal recognition particle RNA
About the family: The signal recognition particle (SRP) is a universally conserved ribonucleoprotein. It is involved in the co-translational targeting of proteins to membranes.
Source: Rfam by way of RNAcentral
GCCAGGUGUGGUGGCAGGUGCCUGUAGUCUCAGCUACUUGGGAGGCUGAGGCAGGAGGAUCACUAGAGCCUAGGAGUUCUGGGCUAUAGUGUGCUAUGCCCAUCGGGUAUCUGCACUAAGUUCAACAUUAUUAUGGUGACCUCCCGGGAGCAAGGAACCACCAGGUUGCCUAAGGAGUGGUGAACCGGCCCAGGUAGGAAACAGAGCAGGUCAAAACUCCCACGCUGAUCAGUAGUGGGAUCACACCUGUGAAUAGCCACUGUACUCCAGCCUGGGCAACAUAGUGAGACCCUGUCUCUA